GCCGAUGGGAUCGAAGCCGGGCGGGCCGGAGCACCGCUCUCCUAAAGCGGGUGUCGCAGGUUCGAAUCCUGCCGGGGGCACCA
This 83-nucleotide transfer RNA is filed under the name Streptomyces albidoflavus. RNAcentral's name for it is "tRNA-Arg". It matches the Rfam family "tRNA", at positions 15 to 71 of the family's 71-position model. From Rfam's summary of the family: Transfer RNA (tRNA) molecules are approximately 80 nucleotides in length. Their secondary structure includes four short double-helical elements and three loops (D, anti-codon, and T loops). The record is from RNAcentral. Lineage: Bacteria; Bacillati; Actinomycetota; Actinomycetes; Kitasatosporales; Streptomycetaceae.